UCUUAUCAGAAAAUAAAACCAGAAAAAUACUUUUCACAAUGUGCCCUCACGUUGUUUCGGAACAGAAAUGUUGCAGUUGAAGUUUAUGUCAUUCACUCCUGUGAGCACUACAACAAUGUUACAUUCACCACUAUUAUACCGGGAAUGGCGACGGAAACCUCGAGGAAGGAUAUAGCAAAACAAAAUGUAUCUGCACGGCUGAUACCACAGGGGGAUGCAAAGACAGAAGAUCACUGUGACAAAAGCUGUCAAACAGAUAUGACAAUAGCACAGAGCACCUGUUGGGAGAUUUUGAAAAAGAGUUUAAUGACAAAGUGUGCAAGCACCUCUCCAACAUCCAGCAUCAACACACACAGCUACAGUCUUUGGACAAAGAAGAUGAGUUGAUUCCUCACACUGACUGCAGAAGAUUGUGUGCAAAUGUGCAAAGGAGGUAGAGCAAGUCCGUUUUGGAGCAUCUCAUCAAGACAACACUGCACAAUGCUGUUUUUUUUUUUUGUUGUUUUUUUUUUUUUACACAAUGGAUCAUACACUGAUAGCCUGUACUUUGUCACGCUCAAUAUAACACAAUCCUGCUGUCGUUUGGGCUCAACUAGAACCAGCUCUUCAGUUUCUGACGGUGGACCAUCCAAGGGGUUAAAAAAAAAAAACUCAUCAUCAGGGAUGGGCUAGCAAGUAUAGAUUACUUCAUGAGCACCAUUCCUUUCCAGAUGGGCUUUUACAGCGUUUAACUGGAGUUUCCUGGAAGCUGGUCAUACUAAAGGGCCUGUUGAUGGUGUUGGAGCCACCACAAAGAGAUCGGCAGAUUCACAGGUAGCCAGAGGUACUGACGUACACCAACCGCGAAAGCACUCCAUGACCUACUCCUUCCUCUCACCAAAGUCAAGCUCUUUUAUGUGGAAGAACAGAUUUCUAAAAGUGCACUCUUGCCAAAAGAGCUGCCUACCAUCAAAGGCAGGCACACGAAGCAUUCAUCAGGUAAUCUGCAGGUGCUCAAAUGUUACUGCAACAGAGAAGCCAUCUGUCAGUGUUUCCACCCAAUGUCCACCAAUGCUACACCACAGGCACAGCCCGGAAGAAAUAGUAGUGUCCUGAGCCACCAACCCCAGAAGACAGGAGUCGUUCUAAACUCUGGGUGUGAAGGGACCCUCUGUCCAGUCCAGUAUGUCACCUUGGGGGUCCGUGUCGGAAAGUGGUGUAUCGUCGCAUAUUAAGAUGAUCCACUUCCUGAAAUCAUUGAAGAUAUGGAUGAAGGUGCUGUGGAAGCGGAAAAUAUAUUUGGAGGACAAAAUGUGGUACACAGCAGACAAGGUCAUCACCAUAAUCUCUCUAUCUGAAAAAGUCACGAGUAGGCAUCUCCAAAUCAAACCAGCAGUGUAGGUUGUAGAUAGUUUUCAUUUUAUUGGACCUUUGACUGUUUUUGUACACUAAAAGGCUUUCUAUUAUUAUUGACAUUCUUUAAAAAAUAAAAAAGAUGUUUUUUUAAUUACAGACUAUGCAAUAGCACCUCAGUGAGGUGUAGUCUGAAAGCCAAGUACGAUUGUGUGUCCUUUUCACAUAUCUGUGCUUGGCUUUAUGAGUUAUAAUUAUCUAGUUAUUUUUAUUAAUUUUAUUUACAUAUUCUGCCGUGGCAAAAAAAAAAAAACACAUUGUGGUCACUACAUUAUUAGUCACAACCGAAAAUGUGCAGUCAUGAUGGAAACAUGGGAUGUUUUGUCAAAAAUAAAAUGUAUUGAGUUAUCAAAUAAGAA
Seriola aureovittata is the source of this 1751-nucleotide long non-coding RNA. RefSeq lists it as uncharacterized. Lineage: Eukaryota; Metazoa; Chordata; Actinopteri; Carangiformes; Carangidae. The transcript is spliced from 3 exons. The record is from RefSeq and is a predicted model, not a curated record.